This 420-nucleotide ribosomal RNA is filed under the name uncultured cyanobacterium. RNAcentral's name for it is "bacterial SSU rRNA". It matches the Rfam family "Bacterial small subunit ribosomal RNA", at positions 359 to 793 of the family's 1533-position model. The record is from RNAcentral. Lineage: Bacteria; Bacillati; Cyanobacteriota.
GAAUUUUCCGCAAUGGGCGAAAGCCUGACGGAGCAAUCUCGCGUGAGGGAUGACGGCCUAUGGGUUGUAAACCUCUUUUUUCAGGGAGGAAUAAAUGACGUGUACCUGAAGAAUAAGCAUCGGCUAACUCCGUGCCAGCAGCCGCGGUAAGACGGAGGAUGCAAGUGUUAUCCGGAAUCACUGGGCGUAAAGCGUCUGUAGGUGGCUUAAUAAGUCAACUGUUAAAUCUUGAAGCUCAACUUCAAAAUCGCAGUCGAAACUAUUAAACUAGAGUGUAGUAGGGGUAAAGGGAAUUUCCAGUGGAGUGGUGAAAUGCGUAGAGAUUGGAAAGAACACCGAUGGCGAAGGCACUUUACUGGGCUAUUACUGACACUCAGAGACGAAAGCUAGGGUAGCAAAUGGGAUUAGAUACCCCAGUAG